GUAGGGUGCGAGCGUUAAUCGGGAAUUACUGGGGCGUAAAGCGUGCGCAGGCGGUUAUGUAAGACAGAUGUGAAAUCCCCCGGGGCUCAACCUGGGGAACUGCAUUAGUGACUGCAUAGCUGGAGUACGGCAGAGGGGGAUGGAAUUCCGCGUGUAGCAGUGAAAUGCGUAGAUAUGCGGAGGGACACCGACGGCGAAGGCAAUCCCCUGGGCCUGUACUGACGCUCAUGCACGAAAGCGUGGGGAGCAAACAGGAUUAGAUACCCUGGUAGUCCACGCCCUAAACGAUGUCAACUGGUUGUUGGGUCUUCACUGACUCAGUAACGAAGCUAACGCGUGAAGUUGACCGCCUGGGGAGUACGGCCGCAAGGUUG
This 374-nucleotide ribosomal RNA is filed under the name uncultured organism. Its description in RNAcentral is "partial 16S ribosomal RNA". It matches the Rfam family "Bacterial small subunit ribosomal RNA", at positions 527 to 896 of the family's 1533-position model. The record is from RNAcentral.